GGGUGCGUAGCUCAGAGGGAGAGCGCUUCCCUCACGAGGAAGAGGCCGCAGGUUCGAUUCCUGCCGCACCCACCA
RNAcentral lists this transfer RNA (75 nucleotides) under Thermotoga sp. RNAcentral's name for it is "tRNA-Val". It matches the Rfam family "tRNA". Rfam says of the family: Transfer RNA (tRNA) molecules are approximately 80 nucleotides in length. RNAcentral also lists the same sequence under 11 other names. Lineage: Bacteria; Thermotogati; Thermotogota; Thermotogae; Thermotogales; Thermotogaceae. The record is from RNAcentral.